AAUAGUGUGAACCUUUAGACAUGCAACAAACAAGUGAUUUACUUGGGGUGCAUAUGUCCGUUUUCAAGUUUCUCGGUAUGUGGCGAACCGAAGACAAAAGGAGAGAUCUUUGGAGCUACGUCCGAGCAUUUUUCUUUAUCGUGUGCUUAGCUUCGUUGACGACAGUUUCCAUGUUUGCUGCGAGUUUCCAUCAUACUGAGCUGACGGAUAUAAUUAUAAGUCCUCUGUAUACUGGGAAUGCGGUACUGACAGUUACUAAAGCGCUAAACUUCUGCCUUAAAACUAAAAAAAUUGAAGAUUUUCUUAGUCAAGUCGAUAAAAUACCGUUUUUCACGGAAGCUGGGGAAAAGGACACGAAAGUUUCAACAGUUCGAAAAAUUCAGCUUCUACCUAAAAUACUGGGAUUUUCAUUUACGUUUCUGGUUUUCAUUGUGUUAUUGACCCCCGUCAUUCUUGGAAAAAUGACAACAAGCCGAACCCUUCCUACUUGGUAUCCUUUCGAAUGGGAGGGAAAGCUUGGUCUAUGUUUCGUCCUGUUUACUUACGAGCUCUGUGCCGGUUUCACUUUUGUCAUUUUGGACGUUGUUGUGGAUACUUUUAUGGCAUGUCUGCUUCUGAUUAUUGGCGGACAACUCGAGUCCCUUGGGUAUCGGUUCAAAAAUCUGCCAGCUGAUAAUGCCAUAAUGUGGAGGAUUAAAUUCAAGGAAUAUGUUAAGGACUAUAACUCUAUAUACAAACUCAGCAGGGAGUUCGAGAAUCUUUUCUCAGGAAUGAUAUUCAUCCAAGCGUUGUUCAGCUGUUUAUUAAUUUGCCUGAGUGCCUUUGCUUUGGGAUUGGCAACUGAUACUGGAACAUUCAUGCGUUUCGUUGCGUUCAUAUUCACUAUGCUCUAUGAGGUAUUCCUAAUGUGCUACGCAGGAGACUAUCUGACAGAAAAAUCAGAAAAACUACUUUUUGACUUAUAUUCAUCAUCUUGGCCAGAUGUUCCCCAAGAUUGUCGCAAGAUGGUAUUGAUCCUUAGUUUGAAAUUUGGUGAUCCGAUUGUCAUAAAAUUUGGGUUCAUACAGCAUCUACUCCUGCAAACUUUUACAAAGAUCGUUGAUGCCGCCUAUAAACUUUAUGCUUUACUUCAGCAAGUUCCCGAAUGAAGGGCUUCAGCUGAGUGAUUCGACCACCAACGACAAUGGCCAACAUAGUUUUGCACCAAUUUUAUUGUUCUAUGAGGCUCAGCACUACGUUGCCAGUGGUUGUUGGUGAAAUAUUCAAAACAUGUUUAGCUACUACAGAUCAUUUAGGUGUUUCUUCUUUCUUCGUUGCCGGUCAACCACUCCUAUACGGCAUCGUAUACGAUCCGCUGAAAUGCACUUCAAUUCCACCCCAGGAUUUGCCGAGUUACUGUAGUGUCCGUGACUUCGUAACAUGCCCAGUGUUUCAUUCGCCUUUUCCAGGAACAAUCUUACAAAAGAGUGUAUUUAAUAAUAUGUAAUAUUCCCCUCAGCUUUCCCAAUACACUCCUAUCAAUUUGUUAAUAGAUAUCCCAUCCCAACAUUCAUUUAUA
This 1558-nucleotide unclassified non-coding RNA is filed under the name Hermetia illucens (black soldier fly). RNAcentral describes it as "odorant receptor 94a-like, transcript variant X1". Lineage: Eukaryota; Metazoa; Arthropoda; Insecta; Diptera; Stratiomyidae. The record is from RNAcentral.